Molecule: long non-coding RNA, 453 nt
Organism: Brassica napus (rape)
Lineage: Eukaryota; Viridiplantae; Streptophyta; Magnoliopsida; Brassicales; Brassicaceae
Exons: 2
Source: RefSeq, a predicted model, not a curated record
AGAAAGACUGCAUAAAUCGAAAAUAAACGAGUUACUUUCAACAUUAAAGUCGAUGAGGUAGAAGAAGAAUUGAAGAGAUGAGAGACUCAGACUCUCAACUUACGUGCUACUUAUGUUUUGAUUAACAGUUAUGGACAAAGUAAAAUAGCAUUUGUUUACCUUUGGGAGCUUAUGUGAAACGCGUCUUCCGCGACCAGUAUCUAAGAAAACAAUAAGGCAAUGGAUACAAUCCGCCAUCAAUUUUAGCAUCUCCACAGUAAGCUCCGACCUGUUUGUUUUCUCUAUAAAUAAAAAAUAGCUUCCAGGUGAAGGUUUGAUCAGCCUAAAUUUAAAGUGAUCUUAAGGUGUUGUCGUAUGUGUGCCUCUUCUUUGGACUGUCUUCUUUCACGUGUGUGUGAAUGGAGAUUUCAACAUCAAUUUGAUACUAUAUGAGUCCAAAAGAUAUUUAAGAUA